RNAcentral lists this microRNA (22 nucleotides) under Monodelphis domestica (gray short-tailed opossum). RNAcentral's name for it is "mdo-miR-7263-3p". Lineage: Eukaryota; Metazoa; Chordata; Mammalia; Didelphimorphia; Didelphidae. The record is from miRBase by way of RNAcentral.
UGGACUUUACAGAAUGCCUUGU